AGAGUUUGAUCCUGGCUCAGAACGAACGCUGGCGGCGCGUUUUAAGCAUGCAAGUCGAGGGGGUUUACUUUAGCAAUAGAGUGAAUCACCGGCGCACGGGUGAGUAACACGUGGGGAUCUACCUUGAGAUGGGGGAUAGUCCGUGGAAACACGGGGUAAUACCGCAUAUGCCGGGAGGUGAAAGGGGCUUUUGUCCCGUCUUAAGAUGAACCUGCGGUCCAUUAGCUAGUUGGCAGGGUAAAAGCCUACCAAGGCGACGAUGGAUAGCCGGCCUGAGAGGGUGUACGGCCACAUUGGAACUGAGACACGGUCCAGACUCCUACGGGAGGCAGCAGCUAAGAAUAUUCCGCAAUGGGAGAUAUCCUGACGGAGCGACGCCGCGUGAACGAAGAAGGCAGAAAUGUUGUAAAGUUCUUUUAUACGGGAAGAAUAAUGGCAGGAGUGGAAAGUUUGCCUGAUGACGGUACCGUAUGAAUAAGCCACGGCUAACUACGUGCCAGCAGCCGCGGUAAUACGUAGGUGGCAAGCGUUGUUCGGAAUUAUUGGGCGUAAAGGGCAUGUAGGCGGUAAGAUAAGUGUGAAUUGAAAGACUGAGGCUUAACCUCACGUUUGGUUUGUAAACUGUCUAACUAGAGUGCAGAAGGGGAAACUGGAAUUCCGCGUGUAGGGGUGAAAUCUGUAGAUAUGCGGAAGAAUACCUGUGGCGAANGCGAGUUUCUGGUCUGUAACUGACGCUGAAAUGCGAAAGUGUGGGGAGCAAACAGGAUUAGAUACCCCUGGUAGUC
This 785-nucleotide ribosomal RNA is filed under the name uncultured bacterium. RNAcentral's name for it is "bacterial SSU rRNA". It matches the Rfam family "Bacterial small subunit ribosomal RNA", at positions 8 to 795 of the family's 1533-position model. The record is from RNAcentral.